GACGAGCCACACAAACGUUAUUCGGAAUUACUGGGCUUAAAGGGUGCGUAGGCGGUGCGGAAAGUUGGGUGUGAAAUCCCUCGGCUCAACCGAGGAACUGCGCCCAAAACUACCGCACUUGAGGAAGAUAGAGGUGAGCGGAACUUACGGUGGAGCGGUGAAAUGCGUUGAUAUCGUAAGGAACACCCGUGGCGAAAGCGGCUCACUGGGUCUUUUCUGACGCUGAUGCACGAAAGCUAGGGGAGCAAACGGG
RNAcentral lists this ribosomal RNA (253 nucleotides) under uncultured bacterium. Its description in RNAcentral is "partial 16S ribosomal RNA". It matches the Rfam family "Bacterial small subunit ribosomal RNA", at positions 524 to 776 of the family's 1533-position model. The record is from RNAcentral.